GUAGGUGGCAAGCGUUGUCCGGAAUUAUUGGGCGUAAAGCGCGCGCAGGCGGUUCUUUAAGUCUGAUGUGAAAGCCCACGGGCUCAACCGUGGAGGGUCAUUGGAAACUGGAGAACUUGAGUACAGAAGAGGAAAGCGGAAUUCCACGUGUAGCGGUGAAAUGCGUAGAGAUGUGGAGGAACACCAGUGGCGAAGGCGGCUUUCUGGUCUGUAACUGACGCUGAGGCGCGAAAGCGUGGGGAGCAAACAGGAUUAGAUACCCUUGUAGUCCACGCCGUAAACGAUGAGUGCUAAGUGUUAGGGGGUUUCCGCCCCUUAGUGCUGCAGCUAACGCAUUAAGCACUCCGCCUGGGGAGUACGGCCGCAAAGGCUG
RNAcentral lists this ribosomal RNA (373 nucleotides) under uncultured organism. Its description in RNAcentral is "partial 16S ribosomal RNA". It matches the Rfam family "Bacterial small subunit ribosomal RNA", at positions 527 to 896 of the family's 1533-position model. The record is from RNAcentral.